GGUUCGGUAGCUCAGUCGGUAGAGCAGAGGACUGAAAAUCCUCGUGUCGGCGGUUCGAUUCCGUCCCGAACUACCA
This 76-nucleotide transfer RNA is filed under the name Thermoactinomyces mirandus. RNAcentral's name for it is "Thermoactinomyces sp. AMNI-1 tRNA-Phe". It matches the Rfam family "tRNA". From Rfam's summary of the family: Transfer RNA (tRNA) molecules are approximately 80 nucleotides in length. Their secondary structure includes four short double-helical elements and three loops (D, anti-codon, and T loops). Further hydrogen bonds mediate the characteristic L-shaped molecular structure. tRNAs have two regions of fundamental functional importance: the anti-codon, which is responsible for specific mRNA codon recognition, and the 3' end, to which the tRNAs corresponding amino acid is attached (by aminoacyl-tRNA synthetases). tRNAs cope with the degeneracy of the genetic code in two manners: having more than one tRNA (with a specific anti-codon) for a particular amino acid; and 'wobble' base-pairing, i.e. permitting non-standard base-pairing at the 3rd anti-codon position. The record is from RNAcentral. Lineage: Bacteria; Bacillati; Bacillota; Bacilli; Caryophanales; Thermoactinomycetaceae.